Molecule: non-coding RNA, 607 nt
Filed under: Pan troglodytes (chimpanzee)
Lineage: Eukaryota; Metazoa; Chordata; Mammalia; Primates; Hominidae
Source: RNAcentral
AGCUCUGGGCUUUCCUCGCGCCUGUCGAAGGCCGGCCUUCCCGCUCGGGUGUCUCGCCCUCUCGCUUCUCCGCAGGGCAGGAGGCAGUGGCGAGAAAAGGAGCUGCCGGCCGGAGUUCUAGCACCGAGAAGGAGAGUACUAGAAUACCUGAGUUUUGGCUGGGCACAGAACUGUCUGGAAUACAGACUGCAAUUCCCAGCCUUCUGUGCAGUUCUGUGUGGCCAUGUGACUAAGUUGUGGUCAAUAUGAGUCACGGAAGAAUAGAAGAACAACUCAGAGGAGGAAGAAGUCAGACAUAGCCAGACACGGCUGCUAGCAGUUCCACCAAUGAAAGAGGAGACCAGGAUGUUUAAAACAGGCAAACACAAGGUGCGAAAAACCAGAAGCGAAAACUUCUGAGGUCAUUUAAGCAGGGACUAUCGUUAUCCCCGGAAGCAGAGAGAAGUUCAAUCCUUUGCCCAACAUCACACUGCAAGCAUGUGUUGGAGCUGAGAUUCAAACCCAGGCAUCCAGGGUCCAGGGCCCAUGCUCUUAAUAUAUUCCAUAUCUUAGGAGAAUUUCCCCUAUUUAAGCAAUAAAAGUGCAAAAAUCUUGUGGCUAGCCAAAA